Caenorhabditis elegans is the source of this 115-nucleotide non-coding RNA. NCBI's taxonomy places the organism in Eukaryota, Metazoa, Nematoda, Chromadorea, Rhabditida, Rhabditidae. The record is from Ensembl.
UCCGCGGGGAAAAGACAAAGGGCAAGAGAGAAGACCGGUUGGGUGUCUUCAGUGACUCUUCUGGGAUGAUGCUAAAUGAGCUUUGUUGUGGGUUCGGCACUAGGUCACCAGGCAC